GCUUUCGUGGUGUAACGGUAGCACACUCGGCGCGUAUUCGAGGGGUCCAGGUUCGAGUCCCGGCGAGGACA
This 71-nucleotide transfer RNA is filed under the name Stegodyphus mimosarum. It matches the Rfam family "tRNA". From Rfam's summary of the family: Transfer RNA (tRNA) molecules are approximately 80 nucleotides in length. Their secondary structure includes four short double-helical elements and three loops (D, anti-codon, and T loops). Further hydrogen bonds mediate the characteristic L-shaped molecular structure. tRNAs have two regions of fundamental functional importance: the anti-codon, which is responsible for specific mRNA codon recognition, and the 3' end, to which the tRNAs corresponding amino acid is attached (by aminoacyl-tRNA synthetases). tRNAs cope with the degeneracy of the genetic code in two manners: having more than one tRNA (with a specific anti-codon) for a particular amino acid; and 'wobble' base-pairing, i.e. permitting non-standard base-pairing at the 3rd anti-codon position. Lineage: Eukaryota; Metazoa; Arthropoda; Arachnida; Araneae; Eresidae. The record is from Rfam by way of RNAcentral.